GGGGACGUUUAGGAUUCGACAGGGAUAGGUCGUGCUUACGUUGCGAGUCGAGGGGGUCGGCCUCGUUAAAACGCCAAAGCCUAUAAUUGGCAAAGAAAACAACAACUUCGCAGUAGCUGCCUAAUAGCACUCUGCGGUUCCACCCUCCAUCGCCCAUGUGGUAGGAUCUGGGACUCACUCUAAGUGGGCUACGCCGGUUGCCCCCCGUCUGAGGGCGAAGGAAGAGAACAAUCAGACUAGCCACGCCGAAGCCUGUUGUUGGGCUGACACGUUGGCGAACUGCUAAUACAGCAACUACACUCGUAGAAGCGUAAGUGUCGUUAUUUCUGGACGUGGGUUCGAUUCCCACCGUCUCCACCA
Molecule: transfer-messenger RNA, 360 nt
Filed under: Bacilli
Lineage: Bacteria; Bacillati; Bacillota
Also listed under: 1 other name
Description: Halalkalibacter oceani_B Standard tmRNA
Rfam family: transfer-messenger RNA
About the family: Bacterial tmRNA, also known as 10Sa RNA or SsrA, is named for its dual tRNA and mRNA-like properties. Its role is to liberate the mRNA from a stalled ribosome. To accomplish this part of the tmRNA is used as a reading frame that ends in a translation stop signal.
Source: RNAcentral